GUCUGAAGUCAGCUGCAAAUCUUCCAAUGACUUGGCCCUUGAAACAAUAAGGAAAAUGAGCUUUACUCAUCCUAGCUGUUGUUUGUAAGUAUAACAGGUUGAUGACAGGGCUUUCAGCAGAUUGGACAGAUUGGGAAGCAGCAGUGAAAAGACAGUUUUCAUUCAGAGUUACGAGCACCAUUUAUAGUU
Molecule: long non-coding RNA, 189 nt
Organism: Mauremys reevesii (Reeves's turtle)
Lineage: Eukaryota; Metazoa; Chordata; Testudines; Geoemydidae
Exons: 3
Source: RefSeq, a predicted model, not a curated record